This 253-nucleotide ribosomal RNA is filed under the name uncultured bacterium. RNAcentral describes it as "partial 16S ribosomal RNA". It matches the Rfam family "Bacterial small subunit ribosomal RNA", at positions 524 to 776 of the family's 1533-position model. The record is from RNAcentral.
UACGUAGGAGGCAAGCGUUGUCCGGAAUUACUGGGCGUAAAGCGCGUGUAGGUGGUGGGACAAGUCUGCUGGGAAAGCGCCUGGCUUAACCGGGCGAGGUCGGCGGAAACUGUCCGACUCGAGGACGGUAGAGGGGGGUGGAAUUCCCGGUGUAGUGGUGAAAUGCGUAGAGAUCGGGAGGAACACCUGUGGCGAAGGCGGCCCCCUGGGCCGGCCCUGACACUGAGACGCGAAGGCGUGGGGAGCAAACAGG